UUUGUUACAUCCGGUUUCAUAUCAACAUUUCAGCGACACGUUUUUUACGCUGAUUCUUGUAGUUUAUUGCAGUUAAAUAAGUUGAAAGUGACUGAACUUCAACGUUUAUAUGUGAGACGCCCCGUGCAUGCUACGACAGUCGUCAGAAUGCUUCGGAACUACUCUUUACGACUGUGUCGAAUUUCACCCGUUUGUCCUCUGGCUCGGGUCUCUGGAGCUGUGUCAGGUAAACAACUAGGAAGUCACAGAUGUUUCCACCCACAAACACCAUGUCGUGCCAAAGUAUUGACAGUAGACAACAUGAACCCUCAUCUGAAGGCUAUGGAAUAUGCUGUACGCGGUCCGAUUGUCAUUAUGGCUGGCAAAAUAGAAGAGGAACUGAUUGCUGGUGUGAAGAAGCCUUUCCCAAAUGUGAUCAGAGCCAAUAUUGGGGAUUGUCAUGCCACAGGACAACCACCCAUUACAUUCCUCAGACAGGUGGUGGCUUUAUGUACAGAUCCAGCUAUGCUGAUGACAGACCCACGAUAUCCAUCAGACGCCAAGGAACGUGCUCAGCGAGUCCUCGACAGCUGUGGUGGUAGCAGUAUAGGUGCCUACAGUGACAGUUCUGGUGUUCUGGCAGUGCGUGAGGACAUUGCUAACUACAUUCAGGAGCGAGACGGUAUCCCAGCCUCCUCUAAUGAUAUAUUCCUGUGUACAGGUGCUAGUGAUGGUAUUAAGACCAUAAUGAAGAUGUUGAUGACUGGAGAAUCUGGGCGUGGUCAAGCGGGGGUGAUGAUUCCCAUCCCCCAGUACCCUCUAUACACAGCCACUAUAGCAGAGUACAAUGCAUAUCCUAUAAAAUAUUACAUGGAUGAGGACAAGAACUGGGCCCUAGAUAUAAACGAGCUGAAGAGAUCAAUUGAUGAAGCGAGACCAAACUGUAAACCUAGAGCCAUUGUUAUCAUCAACCCUGGUAACCCUACAGGUUCAGUUUUAUCCAGACAAAAUAUAGAAGAUGUGAUAAAGUUUGCCAAGGAUGAAGGACUUUUUAUUUUAGCUGAUGAGGUGUAUCAACACAACGUGUAUGCAGAGGGAGCAGCCUUCCACUCGUUUAAGAAGGUAAUGACAGAGUUGGGAGGAGAAUACAAGGACAUGGAGCUUGCAUCCUUCAUGUCAGUUUCCAAGGGAUACAUGGGAGAAUGUGGAUUUAGAGGAGGUUACUGUGAGGUCAUUAACCUUGACCCCGAGGUUAAAGUUCAACAACUGAAAUCAAUUUCAGCAAAAUUGUGUUCUUCUGUUGCUGGUCAGGCGGCCAUGGAUGUUGUAGUAAACCCGCCACGCCCAGGAGAGCCUUCAUACGACCUGUUCAUGAAGGAGAAAAACAAGGUUCUGAAUGAUCUGAAAGUGAAAGCCAACAUGGUGACAGAGACAUUUAAUAGCAUGGAGAGGUUUUCAUGUAACGAAGUGAAGGGAGCCAUGUAUGCAUUCCCACAAAUACAUAUGCCAGAGUCAGCUCUACAUGCUGCUAAGGCCAUGGGGAAGCCUGCUGAUGUGAUGUACUGUGAGGAUUUGCUACAACAGACUGGGAUAUGUGUGGUUCCUGGAUCUGGAUUCGGACAGAGACCUGGCACAUAUCAUUUCAGGACCACGAUUCUUCCUACUGUUGAACAACUUGCGGAUAUGCUGGAACGGUUCAAGGUCUUUCACAAAGGAUUUCUACAAAACUAUAAGUAAAGGAUUUCUACAAAACUAUAAGUAAAGGAUUUCUACAAAAAUGUAGGUGAAGGAUUUCUACAAAACUAUAAGUAAAGGAUUUCAACAAAAGUAUAAGUAAAGGAUUUCUACAGAAAUUUAGGUGAAGGAUUUUUACAGAAGUAUAAGUAAAGGAUUUCUACAAAAGUAUAAGUAUAAUGUGUAUCGAAAUCUGUGUAUAUUGUUUUUAAAUAUAUUUUUAUUUCAAAAUGUAAACACUCGAUUAAGCAAUAUAUGCAUGUACCAAAUACAUCAAUUAUUAUUUCUUUCAUAUAAACUUAACCGAAAAAAUAUUAAUUUUAAUUACAGUGCGUUUCGAUUUAUACAGAAGCUGAAAUGCUGUCAUUUAUUCGAUUUAGGAUGUAAACACGACAUUUUCCCGACAUUCAAAGAGUAUUUACCCAUGUGCUCGAGAUAAGACAUCAGUAUAUUCCUUUUUUGCGAUGUUCAUCGAAAGUGUUUUAUUUUCAAAAAAAGAUGCAAGGAACUCUCCUAAUGGAUCAACAUAUCAGGUCAUCUGUAAACAAUUAUACAUGUCGGGAAAUAUUUAUACAUGUCGGGAAAUAUUUAUACAUGUCGGGAAAUAUUUAUACAUGUCGGGAACUGUUGUAGUUUACAUGACAAGUAAUGCUGUAACACAUGACAAUGUUUAUAUCCUAUGUUACAAUUUGUUCCUUUUUUUCUCUUGGUUCAUAUUUUUGACUGUUUGCGAAAACAAAUUAUGAACUUCUCAACAUUGUAAUCAUAAAUAGUGUGUGAAAAACUGGUUUAACUUCAGAAUACUGUAGAAGUACUGUAAAUGACGUAUUGUGUAUUACUGUAGAGGUACUGUAAAUGACGUAUUGUGUAUUACUGUAGAAGUACUGUAAAUGACGUAUUGUGUAUUACUGUAGAGGUACUGUAAAUGACGUAUUGUGUAUUACUGUAGAAGUACUGUAAAUGACGUAUUGUGUAUUACUGUAGAAGUACUGUAAAUGACUUAUU
This 2718-nucleotide unclassified non-coding RNA is filed under the name Mizuhopecten yessoensis (Yesso scallop). Its description in RNAcentral is "alanine aminotransferase 1-like, transcript variant X6". The record is from RNAcentral. Lineage: Eukaryota; Metazoa; Mollusca; Bivalvia; Pectinida; Pectinidae.